GAUGAACGCUGGCGGCGUGCCUAAUACAUGCAAGUCGAGCGAACGGACGAGAAGCUUGCUUCUCUGAUGUUAGCGGCGGACGGGUGAGUAACACGUGGAUAACCUACCUAUAAGACUGGGAUAACUUCGGGAAACCGUAGCUAAUACCGGACAAUAUUUUGAACCGCAUGGUUCGAAAGUGAAAGACGGUCUUGCUGUCACUUAUAGAUGGAUCCGCGCUGCAUUAGCUAGUUGGUAAGGUAACGGCUUACCAAGGCAACGAUGCAUAGCCGACCUGAGAGGGUGAUCGGCCACACUGGAACUGAGACACGGUCCAGACUCCUACGGGAGGCAGCAGUAGGGAAUCUUCCGCAAUGGGCGAAAGCCUGACGGAGCAACGCCGCGUGAGUGAUGAAGGUCUUCGGAUCGUAAAACUCUGUUAUUAGGGAAGAACAUAUGUGUAAGUAACUGUGCACAUCUUGACGGUACCUAAUCAGAAAGCCACGGCUAACUACGUG
RNAcentral lists this ribosomal RNA (497 nucleotides) under uncultured bacterium. Its description in RNAcentral is "partial 16S ribosomal RNA". It matches the Rfam family "Bacterial small subunit ribosomal RNA", at positions 28 to 507 of the family's 1533-position model. The record is from RNAcentral.